This 71-nucleotide transfer RNA is filed under the name Sphingomonas sp. PP-CC-3A-396. RNAcentral's name for it is "tRNA-Arg". It matches the Rfam family "tRNA". Rfam says of the family: Transfer RNA (tRNA) molecules are approximately 80 nucleotides in length. Lineage: Bacteria; Pseudomonadati; Pseudomonadota; Alphaproteobacteria; Sphingomonadales; Sphingomonadaceae. The record is from RNAcentral.
UCCCUCGUGGCCGAUGACAAGCGGCCGGUUUCCUAAACCGUAGGCCGCGUGUUCAAAUCUCGCCGGGGGCA